CGGUUAAAAAGCUCGUAGUUGGAUUUCUGUUGAGGGCGACCGGUACGCAUUUCGUGCGUUAUCUGGUUCGGUCUUGGCAUCCUCUUGGGGAACGUUCCCAUGCUUAAUUGCAUGGAGCGGGAUUCAAGACUUUUACUUUGAGGAAAUUAGAGUGUUCACGGCAAGCAAGUGCUUUGAAUACAUUAGCAUGGAAUAAUAAUAUAGGACCUUUGUUCUAUUUUGUUGGUUUCUAGAACUAAGGUAAUGAUUAAUAGGGACAAUUGGGGGCAUUCGUAUUAACGCGUCAGAGGUGGAAUUCUUGGAUUGCGUUACGACGAACUACUGCGAAAGCAUUUGCCAAGGAUGUUUUCAUUGAUCAAGAACGAAAGUAUGGGGAUCGAAGACGAUUAGAUACCGUCGUAGUCUAUACCAUAAACUAUGACAACUAGAGAUUGGAGGUCGUUCUUUUUAUGACUCCUUCAGCAUCUUAUGAGAAAUCAAAGUUUUUGGGUUCCGGGGGGAGUAUGGUCGCAAGGCUGAAACUUAAAGGAAUUGACGGAAGGGCACCACCAGGAGUGGAGCCUGCGGCUUAAUUUGACUCAACACGGGA
RNAcentral lists this ribosomal RNA (589 nucleotides) under uncultured marine eukaryote. RNAcentral's name for it is "SSU rRNA". It matches the Rfam family "Eukaryotic small subunit ribosomal RNA", at positions 616 to 1210 of the family's 1831-position model. The record is from RNAcentral.